GGUUGCGAUCAUACCAGCACUAAUGCACCGGAUCCCAUCAGAACUCCGCAGUUAAGCGUGCUUGGGCGAGAGUAGUUCUAGGAUGGGUGACCCCCUGGGAAGUCCUCGUGUUGCAACCC
This 119-nucleotide ribosomal RNA is filed under the name Helianthus annuus (common sunflower). Lineage: Eukaryota; Viridiplantae; Streptophyta; Magnoliopsida; Asterales; Asteraceae. The record is from RNAcentral.